This 373-nucleotide ribosomal RNA is filed under the name uncultured bacterium. Its description in RNAcentral is "bacterial SSU rRNA". It matches the Rfam family "Bacterial small subunit ribosomal RNA", at positions 521 to 896 of the family's 1533-position model. The record is from RNAcentral.
UAAUACGGAGGGUGCAAGCGUUAUCCGGAUUCACUGGGUUUAAAGGGUGCGUAGGUGGAUUGCCAAGUCCGUGGUGAAAUCUCUGAGCUUAACUCAGAAACUGCCGUGGAUACUGGUAGUCUUGAAUGCCGUGGAGGUCAGCGGAAUAUGUCAUGUAGCGGUGAAAUGCUUAGAGAUGACAUAGAACACCGAUUGCGAAGGCAGCUGGCUACACGAAUAUUGACACUGAGGCACGAAAGCGUGGGGAUCAAACAGGAUUAGAUACCCUGGUAGUCCACGCCCUAAACGAUGAUUACUCGACAUACGCGAUACACUGUGUGUGUCUGAGCGAAAGCAUUAAGUAAUCCACCUGGGAAGUACGAUCGCAAGAUUG